GACACAAUACAACCAGUACUGCUACUUCACUAGAACACUUCGCCAUUUUACCUUGUUUCUGAAAGAACUCUGUGUAAGAUCUAACUGAAGACGAUGCCAAAAACUAGCACCACCCUCUCCGCUUCUCUUGCUCUGCAUCAGAAUUAACAUCAUCAAAAGUUUAACAUACCAAAGUAAAUAAUAAGAAAAAUAAAGGCAAUGCCACUUUCAACUGCAACUAAUAUCUGUAGAUAUGUUGGAUCAUCUUUGAAAUGGAAGUGACGAUCAAGUCCAUUGAACAGUACAACCACAACUGCAUUAGCUACAAGUACAAAAAAAAAAUUUUGAUGAAAAUUUAAGAGGUAUUUUACAAAAUUGUAUUAUUUCUGACCAAUUAAGAAGUAUUUUGUAAUGUGGGUUUAGAAAUGUAAAGUUGAAAUACAAAAAUGACUGCAAGCAAGAAUCCUGACCAUCAGCAGCACUGUGUUGUACAGGAGCUAAUAUUGCAUAGCUAAAUAGAGCUCAAACAAACAAAAUGUAGUUAUUUACCUGUACUCAGGUAUCAAGAGUUUAGAAGGAAAACAAAAUGAUAGAUGAAGUUUUCAUUUGAUACAAUUCAAAGGAUGUGAGAUCAUUGUUUUUCAAAUAUUUGUUGGCUUUAAUUUGUAUAGGUCAAUUUAUUACCAGUACCACAAAAAUUGUUUAAAAUGUUUUUCAAGCCAUGGUUUGA
This is a long non-coding RNA of Biomphalaria glabrata, 709 nucleotides long. RefSeq lists it as uncharacterized. The record is from RefSeq and is a predicted model, not a curated record. Lineage: Eukaryota; Metazoa; Mollusca; Gastropoda; Planorbidae. The transcript has 2 exons.